GUAGGUGGGCAAGCGUUGUCCGGAAUUAUUGGGCGUAAAGCGCGCGCAGGCGGUUCUUUAAGUCUGAUGUGAAAGCCCACGGCUCAACCGUGGAGGGUCAUUGGAAACUGGAGAACUUGAGUACAGAAGAGGAAAGCGGAAUUCCACGUGUAGCGGUGAAAUGCGUAGAGAUGUGGAGGAACACCAGUGGCGAAGGCGGCUUUCUGGUCUGUAACUGACGCUGAGGCGCGAAAGCGUGGGGAGCAAACAGGGAUUAGAUACCCUGGUAGUCCACGCCGUAAACGAUGAGUGCUAAGUGUUAGGGGGUUUCCGCCCCCUUACUGCUGCAGCUAACGCAUUAAGCACUCGCCUGGGGAUACGGCCGCAAGGCUG
RNAcentral lists this ribosomal RNA (372 nucleotides) under uncultured organism. Its description in RNAcentral is "partial 16S ribosomal RNA". It matches the Rfam family "Bacterial small subunit ribosomal RNA", at positions 526 to 896 of the family's 1533-position model. The record is from RNAcentral.